Molecule: unclassified non-coding RNA, 211 nt
Filed under: plant metagenome
Description: partial contains small subunit ribosomal RNA, internal transcribed spacer 1, and 5.8S ribosomal RNA
Source: RNAcentral
UUUCCGUAGGUGAACCUGCGGAAGGAUCAUUCAUAAUAAAGUGUUUUAUGGCACUUUUUUAAAAUCCAUAUCCACCUUGUGUGCAAUGUUAGAUCUCGUCAAUCUUGGCGAGAUUUUUAUACAUCAACUCAUUCUUUAACUAAUUUGUCUGAAAAAUAUUAUGAAUACUUAAUUCAAAAUACAACUUUCAACAACGGAUCUCUUGGCUCUC